CGCGGUGAAUACGUUCCCGGGCCUUGUACACACCGCCCGUCAAGCCAUGGGAGCCGGGGGUGCCUGAAGUACGUGACCGCGAGGAGCGUCCUAGGGCAAAACUGGUGACUGGGGCUAAGUCGUAACAAGGUAAC
Molecule: ribosomal RNA, 134 nt
Filed under: uncultured bacterium
Lineage: Bacteria
Description: partial 16S ribosomal RNA
Rfam family: Bacterial small subunit ribosomal RNA
Source: RNAcentral